Molecule: long non-coding RNA, 434 nt
Filed under: Anser cygnoides (Swan goose)
Lineage: Eukaryota; Metazoa; Chordata; Aves; Anseriformes; Anatidae
Description: lncRNA (ENSACDG00005009430.1)
Source: RNAcentral
GUGCAAAAGAUGGUCCAGAAUGUUGAUUUCAUGCUACCUUUAAUGCUUAUUACUGAACUCCACUGCUGUGAAAUCAGGGUAGACUGAGGCUGCGCUUCUUAAGUCAGUGAAAGGAAAUCUGAAAAUCUGGAGAGAGGAUCUGAGAUAGAAUAUGGAAAGCAAUUGUCAUGGUUAAGAGAUGGUCUCCUCAUCUUUCCAAAACCCAUAUCUGUAGACCCACAAGGACAACAGUGAAGGAAGUCUUUCUGGAGUCUUGGCUGCUCUCAAGGAAGAUGGCUUUUAAGUUUGCAGAUGACACGAAACAACAAGUAGAGCUCCGGACAGCAACAAGCCUCUCACUCCAAGACACAUCUGCUCAAUGGAGAAGGCAUGCAGUGAAAAGUGUGUCUCAUAUGUGCUUAUAUCCGGUGGGCUUAGUUAAAAUAAGUAGCUAG